Molecule: ribosomal RNA, 530 nt
Filed under: uncultured Alcaligenes sp.
Lineage: Bacteria; Pseudomonadati; Pseudomonadota; Betaproteobacteria; Burkholderiales; Alcaligenaceae
Description: bacterial SSU rRNA
Rfam family: Bacterial small subunit ribosomal RNA
Source: RNAcentral
GAGUUUGAUCCUGGUUCAGAUUGAACGCUAGCGGGAUGCUUUACACAUGCAAGUCGAACGGCAGCACGAGAGAGCUUGCUCUCUUGGUGGCGAGUGGCGGACGGGUGAGUAAUAUAUCGGAACGUGCCCAGUAGCGGGGGAUAACUACUCGAAAGAGUGGCUAAUACCGCAUACGCCCUACGGGGGAAAGGGGGGGAUUCUUCGGAACCUCUCACUAUUGGAGCGGCCGAUAUCGGAUUAGCUAGUUGGUGGGGUAAAGGCUCACCAAGGCAACGAUCCGUAGCUGGUUUGAGAGGACGACCAGCCACACUGGGACUGAGACACGGCCCAGACUCCUACGGGAGGCAGCAGUGGGGAAUUUUGGACAAUGGGGGAAACCCUGAUCCAGCCAUCCCGCGUGUAUGAUGAAGGCCUUCGGGUUGUAAAGUACUUUCGGCAGAGAAGAAAAGGUACCUCCUAAUACGAGGUACUGCUGACGGUAUCUGCAGAAUAAGCACCGGCUAACUACGUGCCAGCAGCCGCGGUAAUAC